GGGCCGGGUCGCGACUGGCGGACAGAUCAGGUGGGGAACCACCGGGGAGCGACGCAGCAGCUGACGAGGGGUCGUACGCCUGGGCCCCGGGU
Molecule: non-coding RNA, 92 nt
Filed under: Actinotalea fermentans
Lineage: Bacteria; Bacillati; Actinomycetota; Actinomycetes; Micrococcales; Cellulomonadaceae
Description: ZTP sequence
Rfam family: ZMP/ZTP riboswitch aptamer (pfl RNA motif)
About the family: Previously known as pfl RNA. ZMP is also known as AICAR.
Source: Rfam by way of RNAcentral